GCCGCGGGACGACCCGGGGCGUGUCGAAUCAUGCGGGGACGGCCCUG
Molecule: non-coding RNA, 47 nt
Filed under: Stutzerimonas stutzeri
Lineage: Bacteria; Pseudomonadati; Pseudomonadota; Gammaproteobacteria; Pseudomonadales; Pseudomonadaceae
Also listed under: 1 other name
Description: Pseudomonas stutzeri Guanidine-II sequence
Rfam family: Guanidine-II riboswitch aptamer (mini-ykkC)
About the family: Simpler in structure and has fewer highly conserved nucleotide positions than the ykkC-yxkD leader. Despite this each of its two stem-loop structures directly bind free guanidine.
Source: RNAcentral